RNAcentral lists this ribosomal RNA (253 nucleotides) under uncultured bacterium. RNAcentral describes it as "partial 16S ribosomal RNA". It matches the Rfam family "Bacterial small subunit ribosomal RNA", at positions 524 to 776 of the family's 1533-position model. The record is from RNAcentral.
UACGGGGGGGGCAAGCGUUGUUCGGAAUUACUGGGCGUAAAGGGCGCGUAGGCGGCUUGGCAAGUGGAAGGUGAAAUCCCUCGGCUUAACCGAGGAACUGCCCUCCAAACUGCUUUGCUUGAGGCCGGGAGAGGUGAGUGGAAUUCCCAGUGUAGCGGUGAAAUGCGUAGAUAUUGGGAGGAACACCAGUGGCGAAGGCGGCUCACUGGACUGGUAUUGACGCUGAGGUGCGAAAGCGUGGGGAGCAAACAGG